CUCAGUUGCCAACCUACUCCCGAGUAGACUGGACCUGACUUGUGCUAAGAUGGCUAGGACAAGGAGAGUCAAACGCCGCUGUCUAAGAAGCCAGCCAUCGUUGGAGGAAAGAUUAGCCAAGGCAACCAGGCGGCCUCGGCGGCGCAGAGUUAGUCGGCGAAGGAGAACUGCAAGAGGCAGCAGGAGGCAACGUCCUCGCUCGAGACGGUGCUGAGCCUCCAGCUCCAUGCCAGGACCAUCCACGACACACGAGCUCACGAGAAGCAGUCAAGCCAGAUGAGAAGACCCAACACAAGAAUCCAUGGGCCUAAUACAUCUCUCGGGACCCCAUGAUUGUACUGCUUUGGAUGGAUUAAACUGAUGGAAACUAA
This is a long non-coding RNA of Tachyglossus aculeatus (Australian echidna), 371 nucleotides long. RefSeq lists it as uncharacterized. The record is from RefSeq and is a predicted model, not a curated record. The transcript is spliced from 2 exons. Lineage: Eukaryota; Metazoa; Chordata; Mammalia; Monotremata; Tachyglossidae.